AGUGAACGCUGGCGGUAGGCCUAACACAUGCAAGUCGAACGGCAGCACAGUAAGAGCUUGCUCUUACGGGUGGCGAGUGGCGGACGGGUGAGGAAUACAUCGGAAUCUACUUUUUCGUGGGGGAUAACGUAGGGAAACUUACGCUAAUACCGCAUACGACCUACGGGUGAAAGCAGGGGAUCUUCGGACCUUGCGCGAUUGAAUGAGCCGAUGUCGGAUUAGCUAGUUGGCGGGGUAAAGGCCCACCAAGGCGACGAUCCGUAGCUGGUCUGAGAGGAUGAUCAGCCACACUGGAACUGGGACACGGUCCAGACUCCUACGGGAGGCAGCAGUGGGGAAUAUUGGACAAUGGGCGCAAGCCUGAUCCAGCCAUACCGCGUGGGUGAAGAAGGCCUUCGGGUUGUAAAGCCCUUUUGUUGGGAAAGAAAAGCAGCAGGUUAAUACCCCGCUGUUCUGACGGUACCCAAAGAUUAAGCACCGGCUAACUUCGUG
This 492-nucleotide ribosomal RNA is filed under the name uncultured bacterium. RNAcentral's name for it is "partial 16S ribosomal RNA". It matches the Rfam family "Bacterial small subunit ribosomal RNA", at positions 29 to 507 of the family's 1533-position model. The record is from RNAcentral.